CCAGACUCCUACGGGAGGCAGCAGUGAGGAAUAUUGGUCAAUGGCCGAGAGGCUGAACCAGCCAAGUCGCGUGAGGGAUGACGGCCCUACGGGUUGUAAACCUCUUUUACCGGGGAGCAACGGGGUCCUUGCGAGGGCCCGAUGAGAGUACCCGGAGAAAAAGCAUCGGCUAACUCCGUGCCAGCAGCCGCGGUAAUACGGAGGAUGCGAGCGUUAUCCGGAUUUAUUGGGUUUAAAGGGUGCGCAGGCGGAGGUGCAAGUCAGCGGUCAAAUUGCGGGGCUCAACCCCGUACUGCCGUUGAAACUGCAUCCCUUGAGUGCGCGAGAAGUAUGCGGAAUGCGUGGUGUAGCGGUGAAAUGCAUAGAUAUCGCGCAGAACUCCGAUUGCGAAGGCAGCAUGCCGGCUCCACACUGACGCUGAGGCACGAAAGCGUGGGUAUCGAACAGGAUUAGAUACCCUUGUAGGA
RNAcentral lists this ribosomal RNA (467 nucleotides) under uncultured bacterium. RNAcentral's name for it is "bacterial SSU rRNA". It matches the Rfam family "Bacterial small subunit ribosomal RNA", at positions 331 to 795 of the family's 1533-position model. The record is from RNAcentral.